AGAACGACGCUGGCGGCAUGCCUAACACAUGCAAGUCGAACGAAGCCUUCGGGCUUAAUGGCGCACGGGUGCGUAACACGUGGGAAUCUGCCCUUUGGUUCGGAAUAACAGUUAGAAAUGACUGCUAAUACCGGAUAAUGACGUAAGUCCAAAGAUUUAUCGCCGAAGGAUGAGCCCGCGUAGGAUUAGGUAGUUGGUGGGGUAAUGGCCCACCAAGCCGACGAUCCUUAGCUGGUCUGAGGGGAUGAUCAGCCACACUGGGACUGAGACACGGCCCAGACUCCUACGGGAGGCAGCAGUGGGGAAUAUUGGACAAUGGGCGAAAGCCUGAUCCAGCAAUGCCGCGUGAGUGAUGAAGGCCUUAGGGUUGUAAAGCUCUUUUACCAGGGAUGAUAAUGACAGUACCUGGAGAAUAAGCUCCGGCUAACUCCGUG
Molecule: ribosomal RNA, 434 nt
Filed under: uncultured bacterium
Lineage: Bacteria
Description: bacterial SSU rRNA
Rfam family: Bacterial small subunit ribosomal RNA
Source: RNAcentral